CCCUUAGAUGUUCUGGGCUGCACGCGUGCUACACUGAUAUUGCCAAUAUGUCAUUCUUAUCCGAAAUGGAUUGGGUAAUCAAGUAAUGAAAUUUCAUGCUUGGAAUCGGUAAUUGCAAUUUUAUCGUGAACGAGGAAUUCCUAGUAAGCACUAGUCAUCAGCUAAUGUUGAUUAUGUCCCUGCCCUUUGUACACACCGCCCGUCGCUACUACUGAUUGGGUGUUCAAGUGAGAUGCUUAGACCCUUGUUGCAUGGUUCAUUAUUGUGCUCCGAAAGAAAAAAGUUUCAAGCUUGAGUGUCUAGAGGAAGUAAAAGUCGUAACA
RNAcentral lists this ribosomal RNA (323 nucleotides) under uncultured eukaryote. RNAcentral's name for it is "partial 18S ribosomal RNA". It matches the Rfam family "Eukaryotic small subunit ribosomal RNA", at positions 1470 to 1796 of the family's 1831-position model. The record is from RNAcentral.